RNAcentral lists this ribosomal RNA (253 nucleotides) under uncultured bacterium. RNAcentral describes it as "partial 16S ribosomal RNA". It matches the Rfam family "Bacterial small subunit ribosomal RNA", at positions 524 to 776 of the family's 1533-position model. The record is from RNAcentral.
UACGUAGGGUGCAAGCGUUGUCCGGAAUUAUUGGGCGUAAAGAGCUCGUAGGCGGUCUGUCGCGUCGGAUGUGAAAAUCCAGGGCUCAACCCUGGACCUGCAUUGGGUACGGGCAGACUAGAGUGCGGUAGGGGAGACUGGAAUUCCUGGUGUAGCGGUGAAAUGCGCAGAUAUCAGGAGGAACACCGGUGGCGAAGGCGGGUCUCUGGGCCGUAACUGACGCUGAGGAGCGAAAGCGUGGGGAGCGAACAGG